Molecule: ribosomal RNA, 546 nt
Filed under: uncultured eukaryote
Lineage: Eukaryota
Description: SSU rRNA
Rfam family: Eukaryotic small subunit ribosomal RNA
Source: RNAcentral
AAAGUUGUUGCAGUUAAAAAGCUCGUAGUCGGAUUUUGGCAUCACGCCGCACUGUCUGCCGAUUGGUAAGUACGGAUUGGCGGGUGCUUCCUUCCGGUGCUGCGUUCUGCUCUUAAUUGAGCGGUUCGUUGGUUCCGGUUCUUUUACUUUGAGAAAAUUAGAGUGUUCAAAGCAGGCCUAUGCUCUGAAUAGGUUAGCAUGGAAUAAUAGAAUAGGACUUUGGUUCUAUUUUGUUGGUUUCUAGGACCGAAGUAAUGAUUAAUAGGGACAGUUGGGGGCAUUCAUAUUCCAUUGUCAGAGGUGAAAUUCUUGGAUUAACGGAAGAUGAACUUCUGCGAAAGCAUCUGCCAAGGAUGUUUUCAUUGAUCAAGAACGAAAGUUAGGGGAUCGAAGACGAUCAGAUACCGUCGUAGUCUUAGCCAUAAACUAUGCCGACUAGGGAUGUGGAGGCGUUAACUUUGUACGACCCUCCAUGCACCUUAUGAGAAAUCAAAGUCUAUGGGUUCCGGGGGGAGUAUGGUCGCAAGGCUGAAACUUAAAGGAAUU